GGAUGAGCUGUGGAUCGGAGUGAAAGGCUAAUCAAGCCCGGAGAUAGCUGGUUCUCCUCGAAAUCUAUUUAGGUAGAGCGUUGUGUCUUACCCUGGGGGGUAGAGCACUGUUUGGGCUAGGGGGUCAUCCCGACUUACCAACCCCAUGCAAACUCCGAAUACCCAGGAGUACAAUCACGGCAGACAGACAGCGGGUGCUAACGUC
This 205-nucleotide ribosomal RNA is filed under the name Florenciella parvula. RNAcentral describes it as "partial Bacterial large subunit ribosomal RNA". It matches the Rfam family "Bacterial large subunit ribosomal RNA", at positions 802 to 1005 of the family's 2925-position model. Lineage: Eukaryota; Dictyochophyceae; Florenciellales. The record is from RNAcentral.